ACUGUCCUUUUCUUAGGGUUGUGCUACUGUCCAAAGAGUGUGUAGUGAGGGCAGUACUGCUAACGCCUGCACAACAUGCCCCUAUCAACUAGAGCUUGGCUUUACCUUGGUGCGAUUUUGGAAAAA
Molecule: small nuclear RNA, 126 nt
Organism: Prolemur simus (greater bamboo lemur)
Lineage: Eukaryota; Metazoa; Chordata; Mammalia; Primates; Lemuridae
Source: Ensembl